AACGGCGCGUCCUCUGUGUGCUCCGACCUGACGUGCGGCUUGGGUCAGGGUGCGGGCGCGUGGGGAUGGCCCUCCGGAGGCCCCGCGGCGGCCUGUGCGCGCGUUCCUUCGCGGAAGGUGGGGAGAUGGAGUCGCCAUGCUGGCCGCGUGGAGGCCCGGACCCACCUGAUGCGCCUCUGCUCGCCGUGCCCAGUGUAGGUGGGAGCCAUGUGCCAUCCGAGACGCAGAUCUUCCCAGGACCGGACGGAGCCUGGCGGAAGUGAGUGGGCAUCCCGGGUUUUGUAGAUGGGUGUUUGAAGCCGGCUGUUAUAUCUGAGUGACUCGUGGAAGCACAAAGGUGGCUUAAGGACUUAAUGAAUUGGGAAGUUUGAUCUUCAGAAGUUGCAUGGAUGAUUUAGAAUUUCUGGGCCUGCUGAAAUACUGCUGUUGGAUAGAUCAUGAAUACAGACAUUAAGACAGACUGAAUAAAAAUAUUCUCAUGUG
Nannospalax galili (Upper Galilee mountains blind mole rat) is the source of this 483-nucleotide long non-coding RNA. RefSeq lists it as uncharacterized. The record is from RefSeq and is a predicted model, not a curated record. The transcript is spliced from 3 exons. NCBI's taxonomy places the organism in Eukaryota, Metazoa, Chordata, Mammalia, Rodentia, Spalacidae.